CACCACACAGUUUUAAUCUCAUUUGGUUUAGUAUUCACUCACUUUUCGUAAUAAAUUCACUUUGUUUUGGAGACCCUGCGUGGGUUAGAUGUGUUCUGUCACUUCUGACAGUUUGACGUUUAUAAACUGGUUGGGGAAGAUUUGAGUCACAUAAAUACCCGUUCAAUGAAAGUUUUUUUUCUUGUCGGAGAAAAUCUGAUUUCAUUUUCAUUAAGAUAAAUUAACAUUAUAACAUGUAAAGUAAUUCUAGGAUAUUGGUUUGCAAUAAAAUUUAGCUAAUAGUUUGGUUUUGUUUUUCUUCUGCGGCGCUAGGCGUGUUCUCGUUUGUCUAUGAUACGGUCAUUAGCAAAGGUGACUAUUUGCAUUACGGGGUUGAAGAUUCGUUUAAUGUAAGUUAAUUUCUUCUUUCCAUACAAAAAUACUUAGAAUUUUAAAAUGAGGGGUAUGUUGUUAUUUGUCUUAAUUUUUGGUGAAAGUUUUCACAAUCUAAUAUUUCCUUUUCUUUGGUUGGAUACGUGGCUAAGGUCUCGGGCCACCAUUGAAAUAUUGUCAUUGCCUGAAGUGAAUCGUAGCUGACAGCAUGUGAAAUUUUGAGAUAGUUAAUAUCCCAGGCAAUCUAUUCAUUCCGGGGUAUGUUUUAGUGUUCAAAGAGUGCUUUGUUUUCUUUAUUGUGUGGUCUUCACGUAUUAAUUAAUAUUUUGUUCUUUUAGCCGAGCCCGUUAAACUCGAUUAACCUAAAAAUGUAAGCCGCCCUUACAAAGAAAAGUAAACAGCCAGUUUAUUUCGGUGAGUUUUGGUAAUAAAACAAGUGUUGCUCGGAGGUUAUUCCUUCAUGUUCUUUGUCCAGAACACCGUUUCUUAUUAUUUUGUAUUACCUUUCCAGCCUUCAAUCUUCCCAUCGCUGCCACGUGAGAACGUGACGGUGACCUCCAGAGGAAAAUAAGGAAAACACCCAGCCUUUCUGGGUGUUUUUAUCCGGGUAUAUGUUCCACAUACUAUCCUGCUACUAUCCUGGUAUUAUGUCCUGAACUGGAGUUAGCAGUUUGCUGCCAAAACUACCCGUGAGAGAAACCGCCCAAGUUUGUGAAACGGAUUAAUACCUAGGAUAUUUUACAUUUAUAACAUAGCAUUUUUAAUUAAGGAUAUCCAUCCAGGAAUAAGACCAAUAUAAUUUUGUGGAGCGAUAUAAAUAUAUAUAUUUCCUGUAAUAAAACUUAAAUUAAAUACUUCCACCUCCGUUAGACUGUACGAUGGUGAUAGAAAAUAAGAACUUAGUGAAGGUUGUUCUUACAAUAAAUUAAUUAAAUUAGU
Leguminivora glycinivorella is the source of this 1311-nucleotide long non-coding RNA. RefSeq lists it as uncharacterized. NCBI's taxonomy places the organism in Eukaryota, Metazoa, Arthropoda, Insecta, Lepidoptera, Tortricidae. The transcript is spliced from 2 exons. The record is from RefSeq and is a predicted model, not a curated record.